GUUACUUUAGUACCUGGCAUGUUGUUGUCAUUCAGUAACUAUUUUGGUAUGAUUGAAUAAACAUUGUCUCCGUGGAUGUGUACUGUUCUGCUUUGCUGCUCUAUUUCUUUUGUAGGUCAGAGUUGAUGUCCAUUUCUGUGGAGUUAACUUUGGUGAUAUUUUGAUCUGCCGUGAUCAAUAUCAGGAAAGGCCCCAUCUUCCCUUCACACCUGGUAAUAUAGCUGCUGCUGGAAGUGACGAGAAGUGCAAGCUGGCGAUGCAGAGGGGUGCGCAGUCCAGCGUGAACUACAGUCAGGGCAGCCUGAAGGAUGCAGUAAGGAAGCUGGUGGGCGAGGGCGGGG
Molecule: long non-coding RNA, 341 nt
Filed under: Homo sapiens (human)
Lineage: Eukaryota; Metazoa; Chordata; Mammalia; Primates; Hominidae
Description: non-protein coding lnc-SEC16B-2:9
Source: RNAcentral